GUAAUAAAAGAUACGGUCUCUUAGCUUUUAACUAAAAAAGCUAAGAGACGUCUCUUAAAUAAGAUAUUUAAGAGACGUCUCUUAGCUUUUUAGUUAAAAGCUUAGAGACCGUAUCUUAUAUUAU
Molecule: non-coding RNA, 124 nt
Organism: Brassica napus (rape)
Lineage: Eukaryota; Viridiplantae; Streptophyta; Magnoliopsida; Brassicales; Brassicaceae
Source: Rfam